This 467-nucleotide ribosomal RNA is filed under the name uncultured bacterium. Its description in RNAcentral is "partial 16S ribosomal RNA". It matches the Rfam family "Bacterial small subunit ribosomal RNA", at positions 28 to 507 of the family's 1533-position model. The record is from RNAcentral.
GACGAACGCUGGCGGCGUGCUUAACACAUGCAAGUCGAACGAGAACGACCGAGCUUGCUCGGUCUGGUUAGUGGCGAACGGGUGAGUAACACGUGAGCAACCUGCCCUUCACUCUGGGAUAACCUCGGGAAAUCGGGGCUAAUACCGGAUAUGAGCUCCUGUCGCAUGGCGGGUGUGGGAAAGUUUUGCGGGGAAGGAUGGGCUCGCGGCCUAUCAGUUUGUUGGUGGGGUAGGGGCGCACCAAGGCGAUGACGGGUAGCCGGCCUGAGAGGGCGACCGGCCCAACUGGGACUGAGCUACGGCCCAGCCUCCUACGGGAGGCAGCAGUGGGGAAUAUUGCACAAUGGGCGAAAGCCUGAUGCAGCGACGCCGCGUGAGGGAUGACGGCCUUCGGGUUGUAAACCUAUUUCCGCAGGGACGAAGCGAAAGUGACGGUACCUGGAGAAGAAGCGCCGGCUAACUACGUG